UGGGGGAUAUUGCACAAUGGGCGAAAGCCUGAUGCAGUGACGCCGCGUGGGGGAUGAAGGCCUUCGGGUUGUAAACUUCUUUUGCUCUGAACAAGGCAUGCUUUUGGGGUGUGUUGAGUGUAGGGGUUGAUUAGCGCCGGCUAACUACGUGCCAGCAGCCGCGGUAAUACGUAGGGCGCGAGCGUUGUCCGGAAUUAUUGGGCGUAAAGGGCUUGUAGGUGGCUGGUUGCGUCUGUCGUGAAAGCUCAUGGCUUAACUGUGGGUUUGCGGUGGGUACGGGCUGGCUUGAGUGCAGUAGGGGAGGCUGGAAUUCCUGGUGUAGCGGUGGAAUGCGCAGAUAUCAGGAGGAAUACCGGUGGCGAAGGCGGGUCUCUGGGCUGUUACUGACGCUGAGGAGCGAAAGCGUGGGGAGCGAACAGG
This 420-nucleotide ribosomal RNA is filed under the name Fusobacteriota bacterium. Its description in RNAcentral is "Fusobacteria bacterium partial 16S ribosomal RNA". It matches the Rfam family "Bacterial small subunit ribosomal RNA", at positions 355 to 776 of the family's 1533-position model. The record is from RNAcentral. Lineage: Bacteria; Fusobacteriati; Fusobacteriota.